This 2918-nucleotide ribosomal RNA is filed under the name Pseudomonas viridiflava ICMP 13104. Its description in RNAcentral is "bacterial LSU rRNA". It matches the Rfam family "Bacterial large subunit ribosomal RNA". The record is from RNAcentral. Lineage: Bacteria; Pseudomonadati; Pseudomonadota; Gammaproteobacteria; Pseudomonadales; Pseudomonadaceae.
GUUAUAUGGUCAAGUGAAGAAGCGCAUACGGUGGAUGCCUUGGCAGUCAGAGGCGAUGAAAGACGUGGUAGCCUGCGAAAAGCUUCGGGGAGUCGGCAAACAGACUGUGAUCCGGAGAUGUCUGAAUGGGGGAACCCAGCCAUCAUAAGAUGGUUAUCUUGUACUGAAUACAUAGGUGCAAGAGGCGAACCAGGGGAACUGAAACAUCUAAGUACCCUGAGGAAAAGAAAUCAACCGAGAUUCCCUUAGUAGUGGCGAGCGAACGGGGACCAGCCCUUAAGUUGUAUUGAGAUUAGCGGAACGUUCUGGAAAGGACGGCCAUAGUGGGUGAUAGCCCUGUACGCGAAAAUCCCUUUGCAAUGAAAUCGAGUAGGACGGGGCACGAGAAACCUUGUCUGAAUAUGGGGGGACCAUCCUCCAAGGCUAAAUACUACUGACUGACCGAUAGUGAACCAGUACCGUGAGGGAAAGGCGAAAAGAACCGCGGAGAGCGGAGUGAAAUAGAUCCUGAAACCGUAUGCGUACAAGCAGUGGGAGCCCACUUUGUUGGGUGACGGCGUACCUUUUGUAUAAUGGGUCAGCGACGUAUUUUCAGUGGCGAGCUUAACCGAAUAGGGGAGGCGUAGCGAAAGCGAGUCUUAAUAGGGCGUCUAGUCGCUGGGAAUAGACCCGAAACCGGGCGAUCUAUCCAUGGGCAGGUUGAAGGUUGGGUAACACUAACUGGAGGACCGAACCGACUACCGUUGAAAAGUUAGCGGAUGACCUGUGGAUCGGAGUGAAAGGCUAAUCAAGCUCGGAGAUAGCUGGUUCUCCUCGAAAGCUAUUUAGGUAGCGCCUCAUGUAUCACUGUAGGGGGUAGAGCACUGUUUCGGCUAGGGGGUCAUCCCGACUUACCAAACCGAUGCAAACUCCGAAUACCUACAAGUGCCGAGCAUGGGAGACACACGGCGGGUGCUAACGUCCGUCGUGAAAAGGGAAACAACCCAGACCGUCAGCUAAGGUCCCAAAGUCAUGGUUAAGUGGGAAACGAUGUGGGAAGGCUUAGACAGCUAGGAGGUUGGCUUAGAAGCAGCCACCCUUUAAAGAAAGCGUAAUAGCUCACUAGUCGAGUCGGCCUGCGCGGAAGAUGUAACGGGGCUCAAACCAUGCACCGAAGCUACGGGUAUCAUCUUAUGAUGAUGCGGUAGAGGAGCGUUCUGUAAGCCUGUGAAGGUGAGUUGAGAAGCUUGCUGGAGGUAUCAGAAGUGCGAAUGCUGACAUGAGUAACGACAAUGGGUGUGAAAAACACCCACGCCGAAAGACCAAGGUUUCCUGCGCAACGUUAAUCGACGCAGGGUUAGUCGGUCCCUAAGGCGAGGCUGAAAAGCGUAGUCGAUGGAAAACAGGUUAAUAUUCCUGUACUUCUGGUUAUUGCGAUGGAGGGACGGAGAAGGCUAGGCCAGCCUGGCGUUGGUAGUCCAGGUUUAAGGUGGUAGGCUGAGAUCUUAGGUAAAUCCGGGAUCUUAAGGCCGAGAGCUGAUGACGAGUGUUCUUUUAGAACAUGAAGUGGUUGAUGCCAUGCUUCCAAGAAAAGCUUCUAAGCUUCAGGUAACCAGGAACCGUACCCCAAACCGACACAGGUGGUUGGGUAGAGAAUACCAAGGCGCUUGAGAGAACUCGGGUGAAGGAACUAGGCAAAAUGGCACCGUAACUUCGGGAGAAGGUGCGCCGGUGAGGGUGAAGCAUUUACUGCGUAAGCCCACGCCGGUCGAAGAUACCAGGCCGCUGCGACUGUUUAUUAAAAACACAGCACUCUGCAAACACGAAAGUGGACGUAUAGGGUGUGACGCCUGCCCGGUGCCGGAAGGUUAAUUGAUGGGGUUAGCGCAAGCGAAGCUCUUGAUCGAAGCCCCGGUAAACGGCGGCCGUAACUAUAACGGUCCUAAGGUAGCGAAAUUCCUUGUCGGGUAAGUUCCGACCUGCACGAAUGGCGUAACGAUGGCGGCGCUGUCUCCACCCGAGACUCAGUGAAAUUGAAAUCGCUGUGAAGAUGCAGUGUAUCCGCGGCUAGACGGAAAGACCCCGUGAACCUUUACUAUAGCUUUGCACUGGACUUUGAAUUUGCUUGUGUAGGAUAGGUGGGAGGCUUUGAAGCGUGGACGCCAGUCUGCGUGGAGCCAACCUUGAAAUACCACCCUGGCAACUUUGAGGUUCUAACUCAGGUCCGUUAUCCGGAUCGAGGACAGUGUAUGGUGGGUAGUUUGACUGGGGCGGUCUCCUCCUAAAGAGUAACGGAGGAGUACGAAGGUGCGCUCAGACCGGUCGGAAAUCGGUCGUAGAGUAUAAAGGCAAAAGCGCGCUUGACUGCGAGACAGACACGUCGAGCAGGUACGAAAGUAGGUCUUAGUGAUCCGGUGGUUCUGUAUGGAAGGGCCAUCGCUCAACGGAUAAAAGGUACUCCGGGGAUAACAGGCUGAUACCGCCCAAGAGUUCAUAUCGACGGCGGUGUUUGGCACCUCGAUGUCGGCUCAUCACAUCCUGGGGCUGAAGCCGGUCCCAAGGGUAUGGCUGUUCGCCAUUUAAAGUGGUACGCGAGCUGGGUUUAGAACGUCGUGAGACAGUUCGGUCCCUAUCUGCCGUGGACGUUUGAGAUUUGAGAGGGGCUGCUCCUAGUACGAGAGGACCGGAGUGGACGAACCUCUGGUGUUCCGGUUGUCACGCCAGUGGCAUUGCCGGGUAGCUAUGUUCGGAAAAGAUAACCGCUGAAAGCAUCUAAGCGGGAAACUUGCCUCAAGAUGAGAUCUCACUGGAACCUUGAGUUCCCUGAAGGGCCGUCGAAGACUACGACGUUGAUAGGUUGGGUGUGUAAGCGCUGUGAGGCGUUGAGCUAACCAAUACUAAUUGCCCGUGAGGCUUGACCAUAUAACACCCAAGCAAUU